Molecule: long non-coding RNA, 366 nt
Organism: Cyprinus carpio (common carp)
Lineage: Eukaryota; Metazoa; Chordata; Actinopteri; Cypriniformes; Cyprinidae
Exons: 3
Source: RefSeq, a predicted model, not a curated record
GUUGCAGAAGUGAUAGAUGGAAAACCAGUUCCAAAAAGCGUUGUUGUUGUAAAGUUCUCUGAAGCUGAGGCCAAUGUUCCGGGCAUCGUGCAGAAACUUCAGGCUGACCUUAGGGCUUCAGAAUCCCCUGUACUACUGGAUUCCAACUGGAAUGAAAUAAUGGAUUCAGAAGGAACACGAGGUUCCCAGUAUUGGAGACAAAACUCCAGAAAAAUUAACGCGAUGCUCAUGAGCCAUUUUUCCAGGCUUCAGCACAGACGAAAAAGAAUGAGGGAAGAAGAUUCUGGAUUGCAGGAUAUUCUAGAAAAAAUCGAGGAGGUGUUGGAGGCAUCUCAAGGUCUAGAGAGUGUCGCUUUCAGACUCCGA